GUACUCGUUUUGGUAGCACAUAUACUAAAAUUGGAAUGAUACAGAGAAGAUUAGCAUGGCCCCUGCACAAGGAUGACGCGCAAAUUCCUGAAGCAUUCCAUAUUUUU
Small nuclear RNA from Myotis lucifugus (little brown bat), 107 nucleotides. The record is from Ensembl. Lineage: Eukaryota; Metazoa; Chordata; Mammalia; Chiroptera; Vespertilionidae.